This is a long non-coding RNA of Telopea speciosissima, 189 nucleotides long. RefSeq lists it as uncharacterized. The transcript has 3 exons. NCBI's taxonomy places the organism in Eukaryota, Viridiplantae, Streptophyta, Magnoliopsida, Proteales, Proteaceae. The record is from RefSeq and is a predicted model, not a curated record.
AGAUGGGUCUUUAUUACUUGAGUUUGGCAUUUUGGGUUGAUUUAUGUUUUCUAUUGAAUGUUUUCAGAAUUAAUCAAAUCUUCCCAAGUAGGAUUUGAAUCUACGACCUUCGGUUAACAGGCAACUGCUCUACCACUAAGCUAUUGAGGAACAAUAGGACUGUUAAAUUAUUUCUCAAAUUCAUUUACU